Molecule: long non-coding RNA, 3870 nt
Organism: Triticum dicoccoides
Lineage: Eukaryota; Viridiplantae; Streptophyta; Magnoliopsida; Poales; Poaceae
Exons: 5
Source: RefSeq, a predicted model, not a curated record
CCACACCAGCAAAAAAAACUCCAUCGACCACAUCUUUCGUUCCCCACUCCUCACGAUCCCAUCGUUCGUUGCCGCCGCCGUCUGAGGGAGACGCCACUGCUGUCUGAGGGAGACGCCGCCGCCGCAUCUCUCAAUCCCAUCCAUCGUUGCCGCCGCCGCCGCCGCAUCUCUCAAUCCCAUCCAUCGUUGCCGCCGCCGCUGCCGCAUCUCUCAAUCCCAUCCAUUGUUGCCGCCGCCGCCGCCGCCUCUGCCACCGCCGAGAUCCGAGACGAUCCGCCCCCGCCGAGGACCGAGUGGAGCGGCUGCCUCCACGUUGCCGCCGCCGGCGCUGGCCAGGCUCCCCACCGAUGGGCGCUCCGGGUCGCCGCUCCUCAAGGCCAGUUCCCCUUGCUGCUCCAGAUCGCGCCUCGGUUUGUGAUCCCUUGGGGAUCCUGCCGGUGCUGGAGGCGUCCGCGAUGGUGCGGACUUAGGACCGAGCGGCGGGGCACGUUACGCGUUCUGGUUGAGAGAUUGGUCGGGCUGGCAUGGGAAAUGAACUGCCGUCGAUGGAUUUUUUUGGCAGCUUGGCUGCAUGUUGCUUCAGAUUUGGUUUGUAGGUUCAUUGGAACAAAUGUUCAAAAGGAAGAUGCACUGUAAGAAUUACAGUAAGAAGUUCAACUACGAGCCCAGACAUGAGGUAUUUUAACCGCCAACAAAGGGUGUGUUGCUCUAAAAAUUAGUAAUCUUCGCUCCAAAUUCUUAGGUCACUGGUCCAGGUUAGUGCCCAUUGUCAUUGUGCAUCUCUGUUAACUAUUUUAGAACUAGCACAAAUCUGAGUAGAGCUGGAACAAAAUGAACACCCAGGGUUCGAGUACCUCUACUAUGAUAUAAUUAUCCUCCAAACAUGUGUCAUUUCCUUAUCAAGAUGGUUCUCGUGAUUUAGGAAAACUAACAACACCUCAAUGGUCUUCGCACUAGAUUAGCUGUAGGAUCCAUUUUCUGGAGCAUUUUGAUUUUGGUAGACUAUUUAGAUAUUUCCAUACAUACACUUUACUGAAGGUUAUUUUGACGGAACGUUAGCUUGGAAGCUUUUCCAUACUAGAGGCAGUUUGUGUUGUGAUGAAAUUAAGAUUGCUCACAAUAUUUUGCAGGAUAAAAUUAAUUACAGUGUAAGUUCUUUGGUGUGUGAUCCAUUACAAUACAGGAAGUUUGUGGUUUAUGCCAUAAAAUUUCAGUUAAUAUUUUGUACAUGAAGUGAUCUAAGUCUGCCACACUGUUCGCAUUUGUAGCUUGCUUUGUUUAAUAAAUAGAUUGAUCUUAUUUUCUAUAAACUUUUUUAUUUAACCUACUAACUUCAAAUACAUUAUAUUUGAUCCUUCAAGGGGCAAAAUAGUUCAGCUCUUUGUUUUACAAGUUUCAGGAUUGAAGGGGAGAUGCUACAACAGUACAACUACAAGUUCCCUUGCUUCUUUGUAAGGGAACCAAUCAACUAACUUAAUGAGAUUGAUGCACGAGAGCUUCUAGAUGUUCUUCUCGAUCUUGAAUAUUCAUUUUCUCCAACUAUGCAAGAUUUGCUUGUGUAUAAGUUUGAUAAGGCCAAGGAUGAAGUAUAUAUGCGUUAUGUACAGUCCUCCGGAAUUCAGAAAUUGAUCUAUAAUUCUCUGAAGAGAAGGUUUUCAAACCCAAAGGAGCAUUGGCAACCUUAGGGACUUGGGCGCCAACGUGUAGUCCCUGCAGAAGUUGCUCACUCGGAAGGUGGUCUUCUCCAAGGCCUCCCUAGCCUUUGAACAUGACCGCUCCAUCAAGGGUAAACCAUUGAGUGGCAAUGAUACAUGUGUGUCCAUUGCAACUUAGAGGUACGACAUAGUGAUUAGCAGGAUGAGGUGCUGAGCACAUCGCGUGUGUGUCUGUAUGUGUGCGCUGAUAUGUGGUUCAUGAGGAACAAACUGAUUAAGCAUGCUCCAAAGCUACGAGCGACUGAACUAGGUAUCUUUUAUAUUUUCAUGGUGAAGCCUGGUUUUAACUGCUAAAGAGUAGCAGGAGAUGGAAUCAUUGAAAUAUAACCCGUUCUUAAGUAAAUGAACUGAGACUUGAUGGUUGUGUGUUAUUGGUACAAUAUGUAUUUUGGGCCUGAAUUGUGAAGCAAAUUGAGAAUUCCUGGUUACUUAUUAUUAGUAUAGUAUACCUUUUUUGGGCCUGAAUUCUGAACCUUGCUGAUUUUUUUGGUAGUGUGUUAUCAGUGUAGUAUGCAUUUUUGGCCUGAAUCCUUAACCUUAUCUAGGUAUUGAUUUUCUGCAAUCAGUGAAGCACUCAUGGUCAUGCGUAUUUGUUACUUUGUUAGUCUACAUUACUUACAGAUUUAGUUGUUUUGAUAUGUAUCCACUCGUUGGUUAGUUAACUGAAAUUUGUUGGCAGUGGUUCUUUAUGUUCUUUAACUGUUAUACAUUAGCAGCGGACUGAAACAUUUAAAAACAAUCAGCUCUUUAUGAAUUAACUAAAGACUUGAUGGUUGCGUUAUUAUUAUAGUAUAUACAUUUUUGGGCCUGAAUUACAAAUCUGAUUCAAAUAUCCUUGUUUUGUGUUAUUAUUAUGGUAUAUGUUAUCGAGCUUUGUUAAUGUUUUUUUCCUUUCCUUCCUGAACUUCUGAUACUCUCUGCAGUGAUGAAAUGUUUUUGCAUGUCAGUUAAGUACUAGGGUAACCGCAGAUGAUGUUCCUUCCUUUCAUUGAGUUGCCUGUUGCCUUACUGUUAUGUCGUCCAACUUUUUGUUAAUAUACACACUCGACAACUUACUGUUAUAACGUCCAACUUUUUGUUAAUAUACACACUUGAUUCUGGAACCCAUGAACUCUUUGUCUCUCCGAGGACAUGUUUCACAUCUACUCCUGUUUGUAGAAAAACAUUAUAGUCUAUUAUGUGCUAUAUAGGCAAAAAGUACAUAAUUGGUUCUCUUCUAUGUGCUUUCCUUAAUGAAUACACUUGGUUCACAAAAGCCUUAGCAUAAUUUGUUGAACAAGUUUUGCCUAAUUUUAUUUCUUGCAUCUCGUCUGGUAAGUUUUAUUUCUUGGUACUUGUAAAUUGUUCAGAUUACUUAGCUUCGUUCAACUGCUGUGUUGACUAAAUCUACUGUGCCUAUAAACAUAUGUGCUUGCCCGUGACCAUGUCGGCUAUGUUGUUAUUCUUUCUUGAAUUGGUAGGUUGAAACCAAGAGGGCAUUGUAAACUUUGAUGACACUUUGUGGGAAACCAAUUACUUCAUGGCCAGAGGUGAUUUUGAUAUGGAGAUUUCAGUUGAGAAGAUAUUCCUUGCACAGAAAAUGAUGAUCUACAAGUGCAACCUUGCUGGUGAGCCUGUUGUCACAGCGAUUGUAGGCACCAUCCAUUCCAAUUGUCCAUUGGUUUAACUUCAGUUUUUUAUGUACAACUUAUAGGCCAGACUGAUUUUUUUACUUGCCCUGAUGAAGCUAUAGACUAUACACAUAAGAUGCUGAUUUUGCAUGCUAUACUUGUGUAAAUGUUGUUCCACCUUCCCACUUUGUAAUUUCAUGGCCAUUUCAGAUGAUCUAGACAUUUAAUGUAUGGAAUUUACAUUGGCACUAAAUAAGGAAUAUUGGAAGAUAGUAUGCCACAGUAUCUGUUAUGAGCUUUUCAGAAAGUUGUAAAGAAUAGUUCUAUUUUUUGUGGGUAGUCAAUCAAAUUAUGGUUCUUGGUUGAAGCCCUCUUGAUGAACGACACCCCAUGCCACUAGCGACAAUGACCACAUGGAAGAGAUUAAGAACAUCAGCAACAUCUUGCGGUGUUCCUCCUCAUCGUUGUUGUCACCACCGAAUAAUGACGACCAGGUCAUUAGACCGCUACUAGAGCAUUUGAGCCUUCUUGAGAAGGCAACACAC